Molecule: long non-coding RNA, 4158 nt
Organism: Monomorium pharaonis (pharaoh ant)
Lineage: Eukaryota; Metazoa; Arthropoda; Insecta; Hymenoptera; Formicidae
Exons: 2
Source: RefSeq, a predicted model, not a curated record
CAAGUAUUGUUAAUACAACGAAGAGUUUUUUUUUCAUAACUAUAGGGAACUUAAAUUUCUUUUAUCUUUAAUUACAUUAUUAAUUACGACAGAUUUUCACUGAUUGAUUUGGAAUAGAUACCAACAAAAAUACGAGAAUCUAAUUGAUUUUUCUUUCGUAAUCCAUUACUUCUCUAAAUCAAAAAGAAAGAAUUUCAAGAAGUGAUAUCAUUGUCUAUCGUUCUCUCGUUUUCUGUUAGGAAAGUAUAUUUUAUCGUUGGAAUAUGACGAAAUAUCUACGGAAACAUCGUGUUUAAUAGUUCUGUUGGAAUCUAUCGUAAUUAAUAAUGUGUUAACGAUAGAAGAAACUCUAAGUUCUCUAUCAUAUAAUUACAAAAGAAAACGCUUUGUUGUUAACCAUACUGAUGAUAGUUGACAUUAACAUUGAUCUCCAAGUAUAAUUACGAUAGAAAUAAUAUGCAUUAAGAAAGAAUAUGCAUUCCACAAAAUGCAAUAAAAGUACUCCAACUUUCAUUUUCUGGUUCACAAUUAUUAUCAGGUUUAUAAUUAUCGUUAUCAUUUUCUAGAAAUUCUUCUUUUUUAUCUGUUACAAACUCUGCGCUACUUAAAUCCACUUCCCAAUAAUUUUGAAAUUUCAAAGCAGUAUCGGUUUGUAUAACAAAUGCUAUAUUAUUUGUUAUAAUAUUCUGUAUCACUUCAUAUAAUUGUAUUUCUAUUCUAUUUAUAGGCAUCUGGGAAAUAAGUAUAAUUUGAAAUAAAACAAUUAACAUAUUAAGAACAUUUGCAACAUUUAUGUGUAACAUUAUGCUUUGUUUGAUAAAAAAUUUAAACAAUUUAAUAGAAUAAUCAAGUACACGUUAGAUACACUUGAUACUGAUGUGAAAAUGACACGUAACAUCAUUAAUAAAGAUACAAAACUUUUAUUAAUAGGGGAUUUCUAUUUCAUAUAUAAUGCCGUGACAUGACGAAUAUAAAAUAUGAAUGUGAAAUAUGAGACACAGACAGAAUGAACACUGUGUGAAAACAACAUGAAUACUCUAAUAUUGUGCAACUGUCACAUAAAAAAUAAUACAUACAGGAAUGCAGUUAAUAUAAAUAUAUAGUAUUAUAAUGUUACGUCCGGCAGACUCCACGACUCCCCUUCGUCAGCGAAACAAAUAAGAUUACAAAAAGGAUUCCGUUUCAACGGUCUCCGAUAAUUUUUUAUGCGUCUAGGAUUAGUCCGUUAGAAACCUGACGACAAACAUGGAUGGACGAAACGAACAAGUUGAUAAUUUCAACUCCUUUUGAAUAUCGAGUCAACAAACAAUAAAUUCUGAAGAUAAAAAUAUAAAACAACAUGGUGUUCGGGAUUCAGUAUGUACUGAGCUUGCGCCGUCACGUCAGAUGGCAGCAGUUAUCGAUCACCGUUCGCGUAGAUCGUGGUGCGCCAGCAUGAGCGCCAGCAUGCGCGCCAGCAUGCGCAUAUCACCAGAAUUAAUUUACUUCGGUACUUGUGCUCUAUGGCGGCGAUUCACGUUGUAUUUCGUGCGAUCGUUUUAACGUAGUUUUGUGCUGAAGUCUAUUCGUGGGAUCUUUAAAUACCUGUUCAGAGAUUGCUCAACAGAAGGACUCAUUCAGGAAUUAAGAGAGACUCAUAAUUAUUGCUCAGGUACAUCACCAUCGAGAGAAUCACGCUCACCACGCGCACGCCGGCGCCGCGUGAUACCGGCUCACAGGCAUUAUCAUCACGACCGGCAAUAGAUUAAUAUAAUCUUUCCCGUGUAAGUGAUCAAGACAUUAUUCUCAUCCAGACAUUUAUUCUUGUGCUCAUUAAACAGUAAACACGUAUAAUGUGUAUCAAUUAAGAUCUGUGAUAAAUAUAUGGUAUGACUCGGACAUCAUGAUGAGUCCACGUGACAUGUAACCGCAGUGCAUUUUACUUAACACCUGUUCCACACAUGUCCUCUCACACUGCUUAACAUCCUCAAGGGUUAAGUAGCGAUCUCUUCGCCAAGUCGCGAACACAUGGGUUCGAAGCAAGGUUUCACGGUUUCUUACAAAAAAAAGCAAUAAAGAAUCUAAACAUUAGCAAAAUAUAAAUAACCGUUUCUUCUAUUUGCAAUCUAUACCGUAGCAUGUCUAGCACGCUAAAAAAUUAUUUAUCUUAUCAAGAGUAAAGGCGAGAGAGUGUGAGAGAGAGCGGGAAAAGGCGGAGAGUUAGUGAGAGUGGAGUGAGAGAUGAGAGGUGCAUGAGUGGAGGAGGCGAGGGGAGCAACACGCGAUCACUUGGGCGGGAACCAUUGAUUAGACAGAGUCAAGAUCGGAAGCGAGUAGGGGCAGGACAGCGCGACAAGAGUAAGGCCCGUUCACACGGGACGUGGUAGGCGGUAGUGAGAAGAACUUAGGAUCGGGAUAAUAGAAAGAGGAAAGCGCGGUAACAGAACAAACCAGUAGUCGGGAUAAAAUUUUUAAGUAAGAGGAAAUAAGAUGGUGACGGAGCAAAGAGGGGGAGAGGAAGAUGAGGUAAGAAGGAGGGAAAGAGGGGGAAGGCAGCGUGGAAGAGUGGCUGAAGAGGAUGAAGAGAAAAAGGGAGGACUAGAGAGAGGGGAGGGAGAAGGAAUGGAGAGGGUUAAUGGGUGUGGUAAAGGACGAUAUUACAGAAAUGAAAAAAGAAUUGGGGAACGAAAUUAGAAAGAUAAAGGAGCAGGAGAGGAGAAUGAGUGAAGAGAUAGAGGAAAUGAAGCGAGGAAUUAGGAGGUGGAAAGAGGAGUGGGAAAGGGAAAGGAGAAAAUGGAGAGAGGCGGUAAUAGUAAAGAUGGGCAAGGUGAAACAAAAGAGUGAAAUCAUGAGGAAGAAAAGUAAAUUAAGGGGAAAGAAGGAAAGAGUAAGAGAUGAUUGGACGUGGAUGGAGAAGAAAAUGAGAUGAAAGUUAGAAUAAAUAGCAAGGGAGGAAAAGAGUAAAGGGAAUAGAACUUAGAGUAUUAGGAUCAAUGGACCUGGUGGAAAUGAGACGAGGAGAGGCAAGUUUUGAGGGAUGGUAGAGGCAGCGAGAGGAAGGGUGAGAAGAAAGAAAGGUCGGAAGGAAAAGAGAGGGAGAAGAAAGAGGGGUGAAGGUGGAGAGGGACAAAGGAGGGGGAAGGGAGAGGGAAGGGAUAAGAUAUGGAGGGUAGCAUUCUGGAACGUAGCGGGAAUAAAAAAUAAGAAUAAACGUUUUUGGAAAGAAUUAAAGGAGUGGGAUGUUUUCUGUUUAUCGGAGACAUGGUUGGUGGAGAGAUUGGGGGAGAUGGAAAAGUAGAUUCUCGAAGGGUUAUGUAUGGGGGCAAGUUGGACGUUUAAAAGAAACAGGAAAGGAAGGGCAAUAGAAGAGAUAAUGGGGAUAAGGAAAGAGCUGGCAAAUAAAUAAUUGGCAAUAGAAACAAGAGGAGAAGGGUUAAUAGUUGGGGAUAAGGGUAGAUGGGAAACUUGGAAGGUAGUGGGAGUGUACAUAGGAAAUGGAAAGAUGAAGGAAAUGCUAGAGGUCAUGGAUGAAUAGAUAGGGAGUAGUAUUCAGAAGGAGGAGGACAAUAGUAGGGGGUGACUUCAAUGCAAGAACAGGUAGGGAGGGGGGGAUCAGAGAAGGAGAGAUUAAGAAAAAAGUCGAAAGGAGUGGGAGCAGAAAAUCGAAGGAUGGAAAGAUAAAUGGAGAAGGCAAACAACUAGUAAAUUUCAUAGAGGAGAAGGGGUGGAUGAUAUUCAAUGGGAACACGGUGGGUGUUGAAGAAAGAGAAUAAACAUUCACGGAAGAAAAAAAUAGGACAAUUAUAGACUACAUAAUAGAAAAUAGAGAGAUCAAGGAUAAUGUUGUAGAGAUGGUGGUGGGAGAUAUGGUGGAUUCCGAUCAUCAACUAUUGGAAAUCAGGAUAAGAUGCGAGCAGGAGAGAAGAGAGCGGAGAAGGAAAAAGAUCAGAGGUGAGAGGAAUAUAUGAGAUGAGGAGGGUAAAAAAAGCUUCAGAGAGAAAUUAGAAGGGAUAAGAGAGAAAGAUGAAGGAAUUAGAGGAGAAUAAGGGGGAAGUGGAGGAGAUAAAGGCGCGAUAAAGGGGGUGGAAAAAGAAGGAGGGCGUAAGGGGGAGGGAGGGACUAAUGGGACGAGGAGUGUAAGAGGAAGAAAAUGAAGGUAAGAGGUAACCUGAGGAGGUG